RNAcentral lists this microRNA (22 nucleotides) under Homo sapiens (human). RNAcentral describes it as "hsa-miR-6507-3p". The record is from miRBase by way of RNAcentral. Lineage: Eukaryota; Metazoa; Chordata; Mammalia; Primates; Hominidae.
CAAAGUCCUUCCUAUUUUUCCC